Molecule: long non-coding RNA, 663 nt
Organism: Dermacentor andersoni
Lineage: Eukaryota; Metazoa; Arthropoda; Arachnida; Ixodida; Ixodidae
Source: RefSeq, a predicted model, not a curated record
UCUGCGAUGGUUUCGGACGUGCGAGCGGCGGCGGCUUCGUGCAGGGUUUCGCCAUUUCUCCCGUUUUACGCUGCUGCAAGGUCCACCCGCGCAGCUUUGUUGAUUCUCUGGGUCCUGUCAAUGGAUUGCAUGAUGGUGACGGAGGAAAGGACUCAUUAGCAAGCACCAUUUCUGUCGUAGUGUCCCGAUCCGGCAGAUCCGAUGCCCCUCUCUCGGGGGCGGAGGCCGCGGCCACAUAAUCAGUGACGGCUCGGAGUGUGAGACCUCAAGUCCUGGCGUGGGCCGCCUCGUUGCCCGCGAGCGGAACAUCGGUGUGUGCUGGGGUCCAGAGGAGGAAGACAGUAGAAUUUUGGGGUUGCGAGGGUGAUGACGAGUCGCCGUCGUAGGAAAUUUGGCGUAUGCGGGCCGCUUCCCUCGAGACAAGAUCGCGCGCGCAGCCGCGAAUUGCCGCCUGCGAGUCGCUGAUCACGAUCACACUGUUCGGCACCGCGACGAGUGCUAGGGCUAUCGCGGCUUCUUCGGCCACCUCCGUGUGUCCAGUGGUCACCAUGGCGCUCGUGAGGCAGUUACCCGUGCGGUCUACAACCGUGAUCGCGUGUGCGCUUCUCCCUCCUUCAUAUCGCACAGCGUCUGCGUACACCGCCUCGUUGCUGUUACCAAACU